AAUCUUCCGCAAUGGACGAAAGUCUGACGGAGCAACGCCGCGUGAGUGAUGAAGGUCUUCGGAUCGUAAAACUCUGUUGUUAGGGAAGAACAAGUAUCGUUCGAAUAGGGCGGUACCUUGACGGUACCUAACCAGAAAGCCACGGCUGACUACGUGCCAGCAGCCGCGGUAAUACGUAGGUGGCAAGCGUUGUCCGGAAUUAUUGGGCGUAAAGCGCGCGCAGGCGGUCCUUUAAGUCUGAUGUGAAAUCUUGCGGCUUAACCGCAAGCGGUCGUUGGAAACUGGGGACUUGAGUACAGAAGAGGAGAGUGGAAUUCCACGUGUAGCGGUGAAAUGCGUAGAGAUGUGGAGGAACACCAGUGGCGAAGGCGGCUCUCUGGUCUGUCACUGACGCUGAGGCGCGAAAGCGUGGGUAGCGAACA
Molecule: ribosomal RNA, 422 nt
Filed under: uncultured bacterium
Lineage: Bacteria
Description: partial 16S ribosomal RNA
Rfam family: Bacterial small subunit ribosomal RNA
Source: RNAcentral